UAUGUACUCUCUUUGUCUGGAAAUACUUGUUCUAGAAAUGGAUGUAUCUAACUUAUUUUAGUUACAGAUACAUCUAUUUUAUUCAUUUUUAGGACAAGUAUUUCCGAACGGAGGGGGUAUAAU
Molecule: microRNA precursor, 123 nt
Filed under: Hordeum vulgare
Lineage: Eukaryota; Viridiplantae; Streptophyta; Magnoliopsida; Poales; Poaceae
Description: microRNA MIR1122
Rfam family: MIR1120/MIR1122 microRNA precursor family
Source: RNAcentral